This 184-nucleotide ribosomal RNA is filed under the name uncultured bacterium. RNAcentral's name for it is "partial 16S ribosomal RNA". It matches the Rfam family "Bacterial small subunit ribosomal RNA", at positions 1318 to 1500 of the family's 1533-position model. The record is from RNAcentral.
ACAUGAAGCCGGAAUCGCUAGUAAUCGCGAAUUAGAAUGUCGCGGUGAAUACGUUCCCGGGUCUUGUACACACCGCCCGUCACACCAUGGGAGCCGGAAAUGCCCGAAGUCAGUGGCCCAACCUUAAAGGAGGGAGCUGCCGAAGGUGGAGCUGGUAACUGGGGUGAAGUCGUAACAAGGUAUC